RNAcentral lists this ribosomal RNA (432 nucleotides) under uncultured bacterium. RNAcentral describes it as "bacterial SSU rRNA". It matches the Rfam family "Bacterial small subunit ribosomal RNA", at positions 354 to 796 of the family's 1533-position model. The record is from RNAcentral.
GUCGAGGAUCUUCGGCAAUGGGCGCAAGCCUGACCGAGCGACGCCGCGUGUGCGAUGAAGGCCUUCGGGUUGUAAAGCACUGUCGAGAGGGAGAAAGCCGCAAGGUUGAUCUAUCUCUGGAGGAAGGACGGGCUAAGUUCGUGCCAGCAGCCGCGGUAAGACGAACCGUCCAAACGUUAUUCGGAAUCACUGGGCUUAAAGGGCGCGUAGGCGGGCGAGCAAGUCUGUGGUGAAAUACCCCGGCUUAACCGGGGAACUGCCGUGGAUACUGCUUGUCUCGAGGAGGGUAGGGGCAUCUGGAACAGCCGGUGGAGCGGUGAAAUGCGUUGAUAUCGGCUGGAACUCCGGUGGCGAAGGCGAGAUGCUGGACCCUUUCUGACGCUGAGGCGCGAAAGCCAGGGGAGCGAACGGGAUUAGAAACCCCGGUAGUCC